This 73-nucleotide transfer RNA is filed under the name Oscillospiraceae bacterium. Its description in RNAcentral is "tRNA-Asn". It matches the Rfam family "tRNA". From Rfam's summary of the family: Transfer RNA (tRNA) molecules are approximately 80 nucleotides in length. Their secondary structure includes four short double-helical elements and three loops (D, anti-codon, and T loops). Lineage: Bacteria; Bacillati; Bacillota; Clostridia; Eubacteriales; Oscillospiraceae. The record is from RNAcentral.
UCCUGAUUAGCUCAGUCGGUAGAGCGCAUGACUGUUAAUCAUGAUGUCGCUGGUUCGAGCCCGGCAUCAGGAG